GAUGAACGCUGGCGGCGUGCCUAAUACAUGCAAGUCGAGCGAACAGACGAGGAGCUUGCUCCUCUGACGUUAGCGGCGGACGGGUGAGUAACACGUGGAUAACCUACCUAUAAGACUGGGAUAACUUCGGGAAACCGGAGCUAAUACCGGAUAAUAUAUUGAACGGCAGGGUUCAAUAGUGAAAGACGGUUUUGCUGUCACUUAUAGAUGGAUCCGCGCCGCAUUAGCUAGUUGGUAAGGUAACGGCUUACCAAGGCGACGAUGCGUAGCCGACCUGAGAGGGUGAUCGGCCACACUGGAACUGAGACACGGUCCAGACUCCUACGGGAGGCAGCAGUAGGGAAUCUUCCGCAAUGGGCGAAAGCCUGACGGAGCAACGCCGCGUGAGUGAUGAAGGUCUUCGGAUCGUAAAACUCUGUUAUUAGGGAAGAACAAAUGUGUAAGUAACUAUGCACGUCUUGACGGUACCUAAUCAGAAAGCCACGGCUAACUACGUG
This 497-nucleotide ribosomal RNA is filed under the name uncultured bacterium. Its description in RNAcentral is "partial 16S ribosomal RNA". It matches the Rfam family "Bacterial small subunit ribosomal RNA", at positions 28 to 507 of the family's 1533-position model. The record is from RNAcentral.